Molecule: ribosomal RNA, 237 nt
Filed under: uncultured Lactobacillus sp.
Lineage: Bacteria; Bacillati; Bacillota; Bacilli; Lactobacillales; Lactobacillaceae
Description: partial 16S ribosomal RNA
Rfam family: Bacterial small subunit ribosomal RNA
Source: RNAcentral
CCGUGCCCAAGAGAUCGGGAUAACACCUGGAAACAGAUGCUAAUACCGGAUAACAACAGAUGAUGCCUAUCAACUGUUUAAAAGAUGGUUCUGCUAUCACUCUUGGAUGGACCUGCGGUGCAUUAGCUAGUUGGUAGGGUAACGGCCUACCAAGGCGAUGAUGCAUAGCCGAGUUGAGAGGCUGAUCGGCCACAUUGGGACUGAGACACGGCCCAAACUCCUAGGGAGGCAGCAGCU